UCUUAAGGCGCCACUUAUUUACCCUCUGCUUCCCAGGUUACCCAGACUAAGGAGCUCGGUCUCCAGCUCGCCUCGUGCCCGGAGCCUGCUGGGUCUUCGUGGUGGUGGCGCGGCAGCUGCGCUUCCUCAGCAGAUCCUGCUCUCCUUCCUACCCUUUGACCCUGGCGGGAAGUGUUCAACUGCAGAGUGGGUGCCCCAAGCUAGAACAUCUGGAAUUUCAUGGUUCAUGUACUGUUGAAGACUGGCUUGGAGAAUUUUGAGCAUUACUUUGCUAGCAUGUGAGGCUUCCCUGGUGGCUCAGUGGUAAAGAAUCCAC
Budorcas taxicolor (takin) is the source of this 316-nucleotide long non-coding RNA. RefSeq lists it as uncharacterized. The record is from RefSeq and is a predicted model, not a curated record. NCBI's taxonomy places the organism in Eukaryota, Metazoa, Chordata, Mammalia, Artiodactyla, Bovidae. The transcript has 3 exons.